Molecule: ribosomal RNA, 506 nt
Filed under: uncultured bacterium
Lineage: Bacteria
Description: partial 16S ribosomal RNA
Rfam family: Bacterial small subunit ribosomal RNA
Source: RNAcentral
AUUGAACGCUGGCGGCAGGCCUAACACAUGCAAGUCGGACGGUAGCACAGAGGAGCUUGCUCCUCGGGUGACGAGUGGCGGACGGGUGAGUAAUGUCUGGGGAUCUGCCCGAUAGAGGGGGAUAACCACUGGAAACGGUGGCUAAUACCGCAUAACGUCGCAAGACCAAAGAGGGGGACCUUCGGGCCUCUCACUAUCGGAUGAACCCAGAUGGGAUUAGCUAGUAGGCGGGGUAACGGCCCACCUAGGCGACGAUCCCUAGCUGGUCUGAGAGGAUGACCAGCCACACUGGAUCGGAGACACGGUCCAGACUCCUACGCGAGGCAGCAGUGGGGGAUAUUGCACAAUGGGCGCAAGCCUGAUGCAGCCAUGCCGCGUGUAUGAAGAAGGCCGUCGGGUUGUAAAGUACUUUCAGCGGGGAGGAAGGCGAUGUGGUUAAUAACCGCGUCGAUUGACGUUACGCGCAGAAGAAGCACCGGCUAACUCCGUGCCAGCCGCCGCAGUAA